Molecule: transfer RNA, 74 nt
Filed under: Candidatus Poribacteria bacterium
Lineage: Bacteria; Candidatus Poribacteria
Description: tRNA-Arg
Rfam family: tRNA
About the family: Transfer RNA (tRNA) molecules are approximately 80 nucleotides in length.
Source: RNAcentral
GCGUCCGUAGUUCAAUUGGAUAGAGCAAUAGACUUCGGAUCUAUAAGUUGGGGGUUCGAGUCCCUCCGGGCGCG